RNAcentral lists this ribosomal RNA (605 nucleotides) under Rhodococcus sp. (in: high G+C Gram-positive bacteria). RNAcentral describes it as "bacterial SSU rRNA". It matches the Rfam family "Bacterial small subunit ribosomal RNA", at positions 42 to 663 of the family's 1533-position model. Lineage: Bacteria; Bacillati; Actinomycetota; Actinomycetes; Mycobacteriales; Nocardiaceae. The record is from RNAcentral.
GUGCGCAGAUUACCAUGCAAGUCGAGCGGUAAGGCCUUUCGGGGUACACGAGCGGCGAACGGGUGAGUAACACGUGGGUGAUCUGCCCUGCACUUCGGGAUAAGCCUGGGAAACUGGGUCUAAUACCGGAUAUGACCUCCUAUCGCAUGGUGGGUGGUGGAAAGAUUUAUCGGUGCAGGAUGGGCCCGCGGCCUAUCAGCUUGUUGGUGGGGUAAUGGCCUACCAAGGCGACGACGGGUAGCCGACCUGAGAGGGUGACCGGCCACACUGGGACUGAGACACGGCCCAGACUCCUACGGGAGGCAGCAGUGGGGAAUAUUGCACAAUGGGCGAAAGCCUGAUGCAGCGACGCCGCGUGAGGGAUGACGGCCUUCGGGUUGUAAACCUCUUUCAGCAGGGACGAAGCGCAAGUGACGGUACCUGCAGAAGAAGCACCGGCUAACUACGUGCCAGCAGCCGCGGUAAUACGUAGGGUGCAAGCGUUGUCCGGAAUUACUGGGCGUAAAGAGUUCGUAGGCGGUUUGUCGCGUCGUUUGUGAAAACCAGCAGCUCAACUGCUGGCUUGCAGGCGAUACGGGCAGACUUGAGUACUGCAGGGGAGACUG